ACUCCCUACCUCAUCCCUUUUAAAUCAAAGCUGGACCUGGCAACAUCUGUAGGUCAUUAAUGUUAUCUUCAGUGUCUGUGGCUCAUUGCUCUUAUAUAAACCCUCAGCUUAGGCUGGCUUGCAGCUUAUAGGAUGCUUUACUAAGGAAAAAGAUUGGGAGCACUUGGGGGAGGGGGAAUGAAGAAAUGGAAGCCCCUCACUUGGGGAAAAGGGAAGGUGUGCAAUCAACCAUGCUCCAGGAGGACACAUGAUUUCAGAUCUAGGGCUCAGAAACCAGUCUCUGCAUUCCCCUGUCCACUGAGUGGCACACAGUCCCUGCGCAAAUGGAUAGCCAUGGCUUGGAAGAGGACACAAUAGGAAUGCUUCGGCCUGUUUGGUGCUGAUGGAAUUGUGGUGAGGUUAAAGAAAAGAGGAGGUUCAGCGUGUACACAAACUGUCCAGUUUAUGAGGCAUCUGGUGCUGGUAUGAAAAAUAAAAUAUGGCUAUCAUGCA
RNAcentral lists this long non-coding RNA (492 nucleotides) under Anser brachyrhynchus (Pink-footed goose). RNAcentral's name for it is "lncRNA (ENSABRG00000012618.1)". The record is from RNAcentral. Lineage: Eukaryota; Metazoa; Chordata; Aves; Anseriformes; Anatidae.